RNAcentral lists this ribosomal RNA (254 nucleotides) under uncultured bacterium. RNAcentral's name for it is "partial 16S ribosomal RNA". It matches the Rfam family "Bacterial small subunit ribosomal RNA", at positions 524 to 776 of the family's 1533-position model. The record is from RNAcentral.
GACGUAGGGCGCGAGCGUUGUCCGGAUUUAUUGGGCGUAAAGAGCGCGCAGGCGGUCGAUCAAGUCGCGUGUGAAAGCCCCCGGCUCAACUGGGGAGGGUCACGCGAUACUGAUCGACUCGAAGGCAGGAGAGGGUAGUGGAAUUCCCGGUGUAGUGGUGAAAUGCGUAGAUAUCGGGAGGAACACCAGUGGCGAAGGCGACUACCUGGCCUGUUUCUUGACGCUGAGGCGCGAAAGCUAGGGGAGCAAACGGG